Molecule: unclassified non-coding RNA, 261 nt
Filed under: Basidiomycota sp.
Lineage: Eukaryota; Fungi; Basidiomycota
Description: partial contains small subunit ribosomal RNA, internal transcribed spacer 1, and 5.8S ribosomal RNA
Rfam family: Eukaryotic small subunit ribosomal RNA (bases 1-47)
Source: RNAcentral
AAAGUCGUAACAAGGUUUCCGUAGGUGAACCUGCGGAAGGAUCAUUACAAAUCUUGUGGUGUGGUUGGGGGGUGUGGUUGGUUGGUUUGUGGUGCUGGAAAGGUCAACUGACCAGCAUCGCUCACUUAUUAUCACCCGCUCAUCCAUCCACCCACACAUAUGCACAGGGCCGCAAGGCUCUGAUGUUUACGCUUGUUUGUUUGACAGAUUUAUGUAACCUCUAAAUUUUGACAACUUUUAACAAUGGAUCUCUUGGCUCUU